Molecule: ribosomal RNA, 423 nt
Filed under: uncultured bacterium
Lineage: Bacteria
Description: bacterial SSU rRNA
Rfam family: Bacterial small subunit ribosomal RNA
Source: RNAcentral
UAAGGAAUAUUGGUCAAUGGGCGCAAGCCUGAACCAGCCAUGCCGCGUGCAGGAAGACGGCCCUAUGGGUUGUAAACUGCUUUUGUCAGGGAAUAAACCCCCGCUCGUGAGCGGGGCUGAAGGUACCUGAAGAAUAAGCAUCGGCUAACUCCGUGCCAGCAGCCGCGGUAAUACGGAGGAUGCAAGCGUUAUCCGGAUUCAUUGGGUUUAAAGGGUGCGCAGGCGGAUUGGUAAGUCAGGGGUGAAAUCCCACAGCUCAACUGUGGAACUGCCUUUGAUACUGUCAGUCUAGAGUAUAGUUGAAGUGGGCGGAAUGUGUCAUGUAGCGGUGAAAUGCUUAGAUAUGACACAGAACACCGAUCGCGAAGGCAGCUCGCUAAGCUAUAACUGACGCUCAUGCACGAAAGCGUGGGGAUCAAACAG